RNAcentral lists this ribosomal RNA (524 nucleotides) under Clostridioides difficile. RNAcentral describes it as "bacterial SSU rRNA". It matches the Rfam family "Bacterial small subunit ribosomal RNA", at positions 1016 to 1533 of the family's 1533-position model. Lineage: Bacteria; Bacillati; Bacillota; Clostridia; Peptostreptococcales; Peptostreptococcaceae. The record is from RNAcentral.
CCCUUCGGGGACAUUGGUGACAGGUGGUGCAUGGUUGUCGUCAGCUCGUGUCGUGAGAUGUUGGGUUAAGUCCCGCAACGAGCGCAACCCUUGUCUUUAGUUGCCAUCAUUAAGUUGGGCACUCUAGAGAGACUGCCAGGGAUAACCUGGAGGAAGGUGGGGAUGACGUCAAAUCAUCAUGCCCCUUAUGCUUAGGGCUACACACGUGCUACAAUGGGUAGUACAGAGGGUUGCCAAGCCGUAAGGUGGAGCUAAUCCCUUAAAGCUACUCUCAGUUCGGAUUGUAGGCUGAAACUCGCCUACAUGAAGCUGGAGUUACUAGUAAUCGCAGAUCAGAAUGCUGCGGUGAAUGCGUUCCCGGGUCUUGUACACACCGCCCGUCACACCACGGGAGUUGGAGACGCCCGAAGCCGAUUAUCUAACCUUUUGGAAGAAGUCGUCGAAGGUGGAAUCAAUAACUGGGGUGAAGUCGUAACAAGGUAGCCGUAUCGGAAGGUGCGGCUGGAUCACCUCCUUUCUAAGGA